RNAcentral lists this ribosomal RNA (601 nucleotides) under uncultured archaeon. RNAcentral's name for it is "bacterial SSU rRNA". It matches the Rfam family "Archaeal small subunit ribosomal RNA", at positions 14 to 618 of the family's 1478-position model. The record is from RNAcentral.
CUGCCGGAGGCUACUGCUAUUGGAGUUCGAUUAAGCCAUGCGAGUCUAAGGGGUACUUGUACCCCUGGCAUAAUGCUCAGUAACACGUGGAUAAUCUACCCUUAGGUGGGGCAUAAACCCGGGAAACUGGGGCCAAUUCCCCAUAGAUACAGAACGCUGGAAUGCAUCUGUAUUCAAAGCUCCGGCGCCUAAGGAUGAGUCUGCGGCCUAUCAGGUAGUAGUCAGGGUCACGACCUGACUAGCCAGCGACGGGUACGGGGUGUGAGAGCACCUGCCCGGAGAUGGUUUCUGAGACACGAAACCAGGCCCUACGGGGCGCAGCAGGCGCGAAAACUUCGCAAUGCGGGAAACCGUGACGAGGGAACUCCAAGUGUCUAUGCAAUGCAUAGACUGUUUUUCAGCCUAAAAAGCUGUUAGAGUAAGGGGUGGGUAAGACCGGUGCCAGCCGCCGCGGUAACACCGGCACCCCAAGUGGUAGCCACUAUUAUUGGGCCUAAAGCGUUCGUAGCCGGUUUAGUAAAUUCUUGGGUAAAUCGUACAGCUUAACUGUGCGGAUUCCGGGGACACUACUAGACUUGAGACCGGGAGAGAUUAGAGGUAC